RNAcentral lists this ribosomal RNA (467 nucleotides) under uncultured bacterium. Its description in RNAcentral is "partial 16S ribosomal RNA". It matches the Rfam family "Bacterial small subunit ribosomal RNA", at positions 28 to 507 of the family's 1533-position model. The record is from RNAcentral.
GACGAACGCUGGCGGCGUGCUUAACACAUGCGAGUCGAACGGAAAGGGCGCGUUCGGGGGGGACUCGAGUGGCGAACGGGUGAGUAACACGUGAGUAACCUGCCGUUGACUGUGGGAUAACUUCGGGAAAGUGGGGCUAAUACCGGAUAGGAGCGCGUGCGGCAUGGGGGGGGUUGGAAAGUUUCGGCGGUUGGGGAUGGACUCGCGGCUUAUCAGCUUGGUGGUGGGGUAGUGGCUUACCAAGGCUUUGACGGGUAGCCGGCCUGAGAGGGUGACCGGCGACAUUGGCACUGAGAUACGGCCCAGACUCCUACGGGAGGCAGCAGUGCGGAAUCUUGCACAAUGGGUGCAGGCCUGCUGCAGCAACGCCGUGUGCGGGAUGACGGCCUUCGGGUUGUAAACCGCUUUCGCUCAUGACGAAGCUUUGUGUGACGGUAGUGGGUAAAGAAGCACCGGCUAACUACGUG